UACUCCUACGGGAGGCAGCAGUGGGGAAUAUUGCACAAUGGGCGCAAGCCUGAUGCAGCGACGCCGCGUGAGGGAUGGAGGCCUUCGGGUUGUAAACCUCUUUCGCCAGUGAAGCAGGCCUGCUCCUUGUGGGUGGGUUGACGGUAGCUGGAUAAGAAGCGCCGGCUAACUACGUGCCAGCAGCCGCGGUAAUACGUAGGGCGCGAGCGUUGUCCGGAAUUAUUGGGCGUAAAGAGCUCGUAGGCGGCUGGUCGCGUCUGUCGUGAAAUCCUCUGGCUUAACUGGGGGCUUGCGGUGGGUACGGGCCGGCUUGAGUGCGGUAGGGGAGACUGGAACUCCUGGUGUAGCGGUGGAAUGCGCAGAUAUCAGGAAGAACACCGGUGGCGAAGGCGGGUCUCUGGGCCGUUACUGACGCUGAGGAGCGAAAGCGUGGGGAGCGAACAGGAUUAGAUACCCUGGUAGUCCACGCCGUAAACGUUGGGCACUAGGUGUGGGGGGCCUUUUCCGGGUCUUCCGCGCCGUAGCUAACGCAUUAAGUGCCCCGCCUGGGGAGUACGGCCGCAAGGCUAAAACUCAAAGGAAUUGACGGA
RNAcentral lists this ribosomal RNA (590 nucleotides) under uncultured bacterium. RNAcentral's name for it is "bacterial SSU rRNA". It matches the Rfam family "Bacterial small subunit ribosomal RNA", at positions 334 to 917 of the family's 1533-position model. The record is from RNAcentral.